This 492-nucleotide ribosomal RNA is filed under the name uncultured bacterium. RNAcentral's name for it is "partial 16S ribosomal RNA". It matches the Rfam family "Bacterial small subunit ribosomal RNA", at positions 29 to 507 of the family's 1533-position model. The record is from RNAcentral.
AGUGAACGCUGGCGGUAGGCCUAACACAUGCAAGUCGAACGGCAGCACAGUAAGAGCUUGCUCUUACGGGUGGCGAGUGGCGGACGGGUGAGGAAUACAUCGGAAUCUACUUUUUCAUGGGGGAUAACGUAGGGAAACUUACGCUAAUACCGCAUACGACCUACGGGUGAAAGCAGGGGAUCUUCGGACCUUGCGCGAUUGAAUGAGCCGAUGUCGGAUUAGCUAGUUGGCGGGGUAAAGGCCCACCAAGGCGACGAUCCGUAGCUGGUCUGAGAGGAUGAUCAGCCACACUGGAACUGAGACACGGUCCAGACUCCUACGGGAGGCAGCAGUGGGGAAUAUUGGACAAUGGGCGCAAGCCUGAUCCAGCCAUACCGCGUGGGUGAAGAAGGCCUUCGGGUUGUAAAGCCCUUUUGUUGGGAAGGAAAAGCAGCAGGUUAAUACCCCGCUGUUCUGACGGUACCCAAAGAAUAAGCACCGGCUAACUUCGUG